UACGGAGGGUGCAAGCGUUAUCCGGAUUUACUGGGUUUAAAGGGUGUGUAGGCGGGUCUAUAAGUCAGUGGUGAAAUCUCCGGGCUCAACCCGGAAACUGCCAUGGAUACUAUAGGUCUUGAAUAUUGUGGAGGUGGGCGGAAUGUGUCAUGUAGCGGUGAAAUGCUUAGAGAUGACACAGAACACCGAUUGCGAAGGCAGCCCACUACGCAACUAUUGACGCUGAGGCACGAAAGCGUGGGGAUCAAACAGG
RNAcentral lists this ribosomal RNA (253 nucleotides) under uncultured bacterium. RNAcentral's name for it is "partial 16S ribosomal RNA". It matches the Rfam family "Bacterial small subunit ribosomal RNA", at positions 524 to 776 of the family's 1533-position model. The record is from RNAcentral.